Molecule: long non-coding RNA, 1688 nt
Filed under: Homo sapiens (human)
Lineage: Eukaryota; Metazoa; Chordata; Mammalia; Primates; Hominidae
Description: HSALNT0019571
Source: RNAcentral
AUUUCUUCCUUUUAUAAAUAAAACCCUCCAAGUUUCUCUGCCUAGGUAUAUGACACAAUAGUGGAACACUGCAGUUUCCUCCUUUUUUCUAGGUCCACACUGGUUUGAGUUCUGGCCAAUGCCAUAUGAGUGGAAAUAAUUUGUUCCCUUGUUUGUCACAGCAUUAAAAGGAAUCUCGUUGCUUGUCACUUCCUCUUUCCUUUUUCCGAAGGGGUAGAACACAGAUGUACUGGCGGUGAGCCAUCUCGGAUCAUGUUGAUAAAGCAGCCCGCUGAAGAAUAGUAAAGCAAUAAGACAGAAGAUACUUGAAUCCCUAGCUGGUAUGAUCCAAGCUUGUAUGAUCCAAACUAUGCCAUGUCAGUUUCUGGACCCAAAUCUUAAAGACUGUGGCCGCUUCCACUUCCUGUCUCUUGGAAUACUUCCUAUCAGAGAAAGUCCAAACAGCCCUGUUGAGAGGCUCAUGUGCAGUGGAACUGCAGCUCCUACUGUACAGCCUCAGCUGAUCUUCCAGCCAACAGCCAGCACCAUCUUGCUAGCCAUGUGAGUCAGCCAUCUUAAAAAUAGAUAUUCCGGUCCUAGUCACGUCACCUCAACUGAAAGCUUGUGGAUUAGAGAAGCACCAUCCUGUCAAUCCCUGCCCAAAUUUCAGCUAUGACAGAGGAGAUUAUAUCAAACCAGCACUUCUAUUAAGAACCAGAAAAUCUGAAAAACAGGAAGCAUUUCGAGGUAUCAGAAAACCUCCAAGGAACUUAGUCAAGGAAGUAAGGUUCUGGAAAAAAUGUAUUCAGGUUGGUUGAGAAGACCAUCCAUCAGAGAGACAUUGAACCACUUCUUCAUCCUUCCCUCCAGUGGUUUUGUACCCUGAAGCGCAACCAUAACGCAUGUUCUCUUGAAUUUUAUACAAUAACUUUACAUCAGAGAUGUAACCAUUACUCAGGUCAGGCUUAGUGCAUUUUUCUAUGGGAAAAAAAAUUAUUUAACUUAAUGAUGAAACUAAGCUUGUCUUUUACUAAAUUGUAAAAUUAAGCCAAAAGUAUAAUGUUAUUAUUGGCGAUUUCAUUUUGGAAAUAUCUGCAUAAUUUUUUUGAAAAUGGAUUCAAUUUAACACUGACUCUCUUUGUAUUUACUAAUUUUAGUUCUUAUAGUAAUUUCUACCCCUACCACAUCUACUUCUAGAUAGGUUUACUAGAUAUAUCAACCACAAUAGCCAUAUUCAACAUCCUCUUUUAAACGAAACUGGCUCAACCAAAGCCCCUUACUCUGGGUCACCUGCCCUAGUGGAAGAUCAUUGAUAGUUUGAUGAUAGUGUAGCCUGAUAUAAAAUAAUGAAAUGAGUCAAUUAGAUUACCUUCUCACAACUUUGAACUCAAACUUUCAAUUCAAAAUUGAAAAACACAUUUUUCAAUGGGUAUCAUGAGAGAAGUUGGCACAUGAAGAGAGAUGAGUCUUACAAAUGAUAAAGCAUUAGAGUAGCAAUCUUGCCCUUCCAGAGGCCAGAGUUUCAAGCAUUUUUCUGGCAUCUUAUGCUUAAUUAUCAAAAUAAGUUUCUUGUUACUUAAAGUAAAUUACCUCUCUUUGCCUUGCAAUAUGAUAAUUUCAGUUAUUACCCUAUUCCCUUCAACAGAGUAUUAUUAAAAACAGAUACAGAAAAUAACAUUUUAAUGUAAAAGCAUUAUUUACUGGAUUUC